GACGAACGCUGGCGGCGUGCUUAACACAUGCAAGUCGAACGGAAAGGCCCUGCUUUUGUGGGGUGCUCGAGUGGCGAACGGGUGAGUAGCACGUGAGUAACCUGCCCUUGACUUUGGGAUAACUUCAGGAAACUGGGGCUAAUACCGGAUAGGAGCUCCUGCUGCAUGGUGGGGGUUGGAAAGUUUCGGCGGUUGGGGAUGGACUCGCGGCUUAUCAGCUUGUUGGUGGGGUAGUGGCUUACCAAGGCUUUGACGGGUAGCCGGCCUGAGAGGGUGACAGGCCACAUUGGGACUGAGAUACGGCCCAGACUCCUACGGGAGGCAGCAGUGGGGAAUAUUGCACAAUGGGCGGAAGCCUGAUGCAGCAACGCCGCGUGCGGGAUGACGGCCUUCGGGUUGUAAACCGCUUUCGCCUGUGACGAAGCGUGAGUGACGGUAAUGGGUAAAGAAGCACCGGCUAACUACGUG
RNAcentral lists this ribosomal RNA (468 nucleotides) under uncultured bacterium. Its description in RNAcentral is "partial 16S ribosomal RNA". It matches the Rfam family "Bacterial small subunit ribosomal RNA", at positions 28 to 507 of the family's 1533-position model. The record is from RNAcentral.